UUCUUUUUUGUCUGACUGUCACAAGCAUUGGAUGGAGAACAUCCCGCCCAAUCACAGGCCGUGUGGAUGCAUGGAUCUCAAAUAGGAGCAGCUGUUGGAUGCUGCCGUGGCAGUUGCAUUGUGUGAGCAAGACUAUUGAAAACAAUGAGUAGUAGAUGUUGUCCAUCUUAUACAAGAUUCUUUACAAAGAUAUAUUGAAUGGUUUCCUGAUGGUGUGAGCAACACUAUUAUUGAAAACAAGACAUGAAUAAUAGAGUGAAGGGUUAUACAAAAUUGGUGUUCCAUCAAGGGAUGUAGUUCGUCAUCUAUAAUUAAAACUGAAUGCUAUGGUAUCACUUCAGGGUUUUGCUUCUGUAGAUGCUGCGUUUAACUCUCCUCCAGGUAUUUGUAUUUCCCCAUGUCUCUAUUCUUUUUAUCUGUUUAAUGAUGAAUGGUAGGCUAUUCAGAGUUGAAUGUAUAGUAUAGGAAAAAAGAUGGCAUAUGUAUUAUUACUGCUGUAGGGCAACAUUGUGACUUUCAUUUCGUUUUCUAAAUGAAAAUG
Long non-coding RNA from Lolium rigidum, 541 nucleotides. RefSeq lists it as uncharacterized. The record is from RefSeq and is a predicted model, not a curated record. NCBI's taxonomy places the organism in Eukaryota, Viridiplantae, Streptophyta, Magnoliopsida, Poales, Poaceae. The transcript has 3 exons.